RNAcentral lists this transfer RNA (73 nucleotides) under Elusimicrobiales bacterium. RNAcentral describes it as "tRNA-Asn". It matches the Rfam family "tRNA". Rfam says of the family: Transfer RNA (tRNA) molecules are approximately 80 nucleotides in length. The record is from RNAcentral. Lineage: Bacteria; Pseudomonadati; Elusimicrobiota; Elusimicrobia; Elusimicrobiales.
UCUCCUAUAGCUCAGUCGGUAGAGCAAUCGGCUGUUAACCGAUGUGUCGUAGGUUCGAGUCCUAUUGGGAGAG